RNAcentral lists this ribosomal RNA (411 nucleotides) under Acanthamoeba genotype T4. Its description in RNAcentral is "SSU rRNA". It matches the Rfam family "Eukaryotic small subunit ribosomal RNA", at positions 798 to 1106 of the family's 1831-position model. The record is from RNAcentral. Lineage: Eukaryota; Discosea; Longamoebia; Acanthamoebidae.
UUCUGCCACCGAAUACAUUAGCAUGGGAUAAUGGAAUAGGACCCUGUCCUCCUAUUUUCAGUUGGUUUUGGCAGCGCGAGGACUAGGGUAAUGAUUAAUAGGGAUAGUUGGGGGCAUUAAUAUUUAAUUGUCAGAGGUGAAAUUCUUGGAUUUAUGAAAGAUUAACUUCUGCGAAAGCAUCUGCCAAGGAUGUUUUCAUUAAUCAAGAACGAAAGUUAGGGGAUCGAAGACGAUCAGAUACCGUCGUAGUCUUAACCAUAAACGAUGCCGACCAGCGAUUAGGAGACGUUGAAUACAAAACACCACCAUCGGCGCGGUCGUCCUUGGCGUCUCGGUCCUUCACGGGGCCGGGGCGCGGGGGCGGCUUAGCCCGGUGGCACCGGUGAAUGACUCCCCUAGCAGCUWGUGAGA